CAGUAGCCACGGUAAUACGUAGGGUGCAAGCGUUGUCCGGAAUUAUUGGGCGUAAAGAGCUCGUAGGCGGUUUGUCGCGUCUGCUGUGAAAUCCCGAGGCUCAACCUCGGGCUUGCAGUGGGUACGGGCAGACUAGAGUGCGGUAGGGGAGAUUGGAAUUCCUGGUGUAGCGGUGGAAUGCGCAGAUAUCAGGAGGAACACCGAUGGCGAAGGCAGAUCUCUGGGCCGUAACUGACGCUGAGGAGCGAAAGCAUGGGGAGCGAACAGGAUUAGAUACCCGCGUAGUCCCUGUCUCUUAUAC
This 301-nucleotide ribosomal RNA is filed under the name uncultured bacterium. RNAcentral describes it as "partial 16S ribosomal RNA". It matches the Rfam family "Bacterial small subunit ribosomal RNA", at positions 509 to 807 of the family's 1533-position model. The record is from RNAcentral.